This 789-nucleotide ribosomal RNA is filed under the name Triticum aestivum (bread wheat). Its description in RNAcentral is "partial small subunit ribosomal RNA". The record is from RNAcentral. Lineage: Eukaryota; Viridiplantae; Streptophyta; Magnoliopsida; Poales; Poaceae.
AUGAUUGACACUAACUGCCCCGUCAUGAGCUGGAAUGUCCGAGGCCUAAACACACCGGCGCGCCGUGCAGUCAUUUGCGACACUGCCAACACACACAAGCUUGCAAUCAUGUGCCUUCAGGAGACUAAGAUAGAUUGCUGGUUGGCGGCCCUAGCUAGAGAGGUAGGAGGUGCAAGGCUUGACGAUUGUGUCAUCCUCCCAGCGAUGGGGACGCGUGGAGGGAUUGCAAUCUUCUGGAACUCCACUCUUGUCUCCGUCCAAUCUCAAGCUAUAGGGCAAUUCUCAAUCACCGCCAGAGUAACGCUUGCAAAUUCCGCGACUUCCUACUGGCUGACCAUGGUCUAUGGGCCUGCUGAUGAAGUACGGAAGGAUGACUUCCUUGCCGAGCUUGCAAGCGUUGCGCCCCCACCUGGCGAAGCGUGGUUGAUCAAUGGCGAUUUCAAUAUCAUCUACGAGGCUAGGGAUAAAAGCAACAUUAACAUAAAUCGCCGGAUCAUGGGAAAGUUCAGAGCAGCCAUAGAUGCAGCUGGUUUGCGUGAAAUCAAAUGCAAAAAUCGUCGUUUCACUUGGAGUAACGAGCGACGAGUCCCGACACUAGUUAGCAUAGAUAAAUUCUACUGCACCAUCGCCUGGGAGAGCCUGUUCCCGACCUACCUCCUCCACGCAGCCUCCACAUCUUGCUCCGAUCACUGCCCCCUACUCCUGGCACCAACUACAGCCCCUCGACAGCCAGCCCGGUUCAGAUUUGAAGCGUUCUGGCCCAAGCAUCCACAUUUCCAUGAAACCUAG